RNAcentral lists this non-coding RNA (1105 nucleotides) under Enterocytozoon bieneusi H348. Its description in RNAcentral is "Eukaryotic large subunit ribosomal RNA". It matches the Rfam family "Eukaryotic large subunit ribosomal RNA", at positions 1700 to 3083 of the family's 3401-position model. The record is from Rfam by way of RNAcentral. Lineage: Eukaryota; Fungi; Microsporidia; Enterocytozoonidae.
UCUAUUAGGAGUACCUAUGGGGGACAUGGCAGGCGACCCCAACGACGUUGCCGGUGAGAUUUUCCGGGACCACCCAGAUCUUAUGAGGGUCACGCUGAGACUAAGAACGAGUGGGGCGGUGAAAAUGAAGGAACAUCCUCGUACCGACCCGCAACAGGAUUCCUAGGUGAGAAGCCUAAGGCAUAAUUGUAAUGUGAGCAAGGGAAAUCGGCAAAAUGGAUGAAAAACCUCGGGAUAAUCAUUGGCUCUAGCAUGCUAGAACUGGGCUUACAAGGGGAAUCUGACUGUUUAAUAAAAACAUAGCUUUGUGUGUACGCAAAGUGAAUUCUGCCCAGUGCUUGGGACGUUAAGGAAGUAAUUUUAAGUACGCACCUGUAAACGGCGGGAGUAACUAUGACUCUCUUAAGGUAGCCAAAUGCCUCGUCGCCUAAUUAGCGACGCGCAUGAAUGGAGCAACGAGAUUCCCACUGUCCCUGCUCACAGAUUUGCGAACCUACAGCCAAGGGAACGGGCUUGGGACAUGCAGCGGGGAAAGAAGACCCUGUUGAGCUUGACUCUAGCCAAGCACAGGCCUCUGUGACUAUAUCGUAGCGAGGUGGGAGAAAUGUGUGAGACCACUGACAUAGUCGGCGGGGGCACUCGCAAAGCUUGGUGGGGAGUUUGGCUGGGGCGGCACGACUACUAAAACAUAACGUAGACGUCCAAAGGUAAGCUCCGAGGGGAUGGAAACCACUCCGAGAGUAUAAGGGCAAAAGCUUGCUUUAGUUAUUAAUGUAAAUUAAUAAUACUGGAAACAGGGGCCUAGAGAUCCUCUAUGAAACUAAGCAUAGAGGUGACGGAAAAGUUACCACAGGGAUAACUGGCUUGUGGCGGCCGAGCGUCCAUAGCGACGCCGCUUUUUGAUUCUUCGAUGUCGGCUCUUCCGAGCAUGGUGGAGUAUCAGCCACCAAGUGUGUGAUUGUUCACCAACUAACAGGGAACGUGAGCUGGGUUUAGACCGUCGCGAGACAGGUUAGUUUUACCCUACUGCAUCGCGUCCGAGAGUAGGUCGGGGCAGUACGAGAGGAAGUGCCGAUCAGAACCGCUGGUGAACUUCGUCUGUAAG